Molecule: ribosomal RNA, 530 nt
Filed under: uncultured bacterium
Lineage: Bacteria
Description: partial 16S ribosomal RNA
Rfam family: Bacterial small subunit ribosomal RNA
Source: RNAcentral
UGGGGAAUACUGCACAAUGGGCGCAAGCCUGAUGCAGCAACGCCGCGUGAGGGACGACGGCCUUCGGGUUGUAAACCUCUUUUAGUAGGGAAGAAGCGAAAGUGACGGUACCUGCAGAAAAAGCACCGGCUAACUACGUGCCAGCAGCCGCGGUAAUACGUAGGGUGCGAGCGUUGUCCGGAAUUAUUGGGCGUAAAGAGCUCGUAGGCGGUCUGUCGCGUCUGCUGUGAAAACCCGAGGCUCAACCUCGGGCCUGCAGUGGGUACGGGCAGACUAGAGUGCGGUAGGGGAGAAUGGAAUUCCUGGUGUAGCGGUGGAAUGCGCAGAUAUCAGGAGGAACACCGAUGGCGAAGGCAGUUCUCUGGGCCGUAACUGACGCUGAGGAGCGAAAGCGUGGGGAGCGAACAGGAUUAGAUACCCUGGUAGUCCACGCCGUAAACGUUGGGCGCUAGAUGUGGGGACCAUUCCACGGUUUCCGUGUCGCAGCUAACGCAUUAAGCGCCCCGCCUGGGGAGUACGGCCGCAAGGCU